Molecule: ribosomal RNA, 253 nt
Filed under: uncultured bacterium
Lineage: Bacteria
Description: partial 16S ribosomal RNA
Rfam family: Bacterial small subunit ribosomal RNA
Source: RNAcentral
UACGUAGGGGGCUAGCGUUGUCCGGAUUUAUUGGGCGUAAAGAGCGCGUAGGCUGCGGGGCAAGUCGGGUGUGAAAUCUCAGAGCUCAACUCUGAAACUGCACUCGAUACUGCUUUGCUCGAGGACUGGAGAGGAGAUUGGAAUUCACGGUGUAGCAGUGAAAUGCGUAGAUAUCGUGAGGAAGACCAGUGGCGAAGGCGGAUCUCUGGACAGUUCCUGACGCUGAGGCACGAAGGCCAGGGGAGCAAACGGG